Molecule: RNA transcript, 6473 nt
Organism: Nerophis ophidion (straightnose pipefish)
Lineage: Eukaryota; Metazoa; Chordata; Actinopteri; Syngnathiformes; Syngnathidae
Gene name: cerebellin-1
Exons: 5
Source: RefSeq, a predicted model, not a curated record
AGGUAGGGGGGAGGGAGAUGGAGCUACAAAACAUACAGUGGAUGGGAGAGAAUGUGAAAGGGAAAUUUGACGGGGAAUGAGUAGGAAGAAAGGACCGAGCAGAAUCAAAACUGGAGAGGAGAAGUGAGAUGUUCCAAGUUGUCUGAUGAGUAAGGACCUCCUGUUGGCUGAUAUGGGAGCGCCACCGAGUCUUGGAAGAGUUGUUCCUUGUGGAUCAAGUCCCAUCACCUCGUAGUCAAGCUGUAGUUAGUCCAUGUCACUGAAGAUUACGUGAUAAACCUGAAUCUGGUCGGAAACACACCAAACUCACUCUUUAGAAUGAUGUCUUGGUUCUGUCUCGCCUUCUUCGUCAAAAUGCUUCUCGUCACUUACUGGGCGCCCCUGGUGGUUCGCUGCCAGAAUGACACAGAGCCAAUCGUGUUGGAAGGGAAAUGUCUGGUGGUGUGCGAUUCCACACCCUCUGCCGAGCCAUCGGGAAAUGCCCUAGGAAUGUCUGUGAGGUCGGGAACUGGCCGGGUGGCCUUCUCGGCCAUUCGCAACACCAACCACGAACCCUCCGAAAUGAGCAACCGCACCAUGACCAUCUACUUUGACCAGAUAUUGGUAAAUAUCGGCAGCCAUUUUGAUCCUGCCAGGAGCAUAUUUGUGGCUCCCAGAAAGGGGGUCUACAGUUUCAGCUUCCAUGUGGUCAAAGUUUACAACAGGCAGACUAUCCAAGUGAGUUUGGUUCUCAACGGCUGGCCUGUGAUCUCGGCUUUCGCCGGCGACCAGGAUGUGACCAGGGAAGCUGCCACCAAUGCCGGCCUGGUGAUGAUGGAGAGGGGUGACAAGACGUACCUCAAACUGGAGAGGGGGAACCUGAUGGGAGGGUGGAAAUAUUCUACGUUCUCUGGCUUUCUGGUGUUCCCUUUGUAAGAGUGCAGAGGUUCGUGGAGAGACCUUGAGUGCUUAGGGCGCUCAGGGGCCAAUGGUUCAACUGAACUUGCACCAAAUAAUGUUGAAUUUAUUUUCCUUUUUUUUUUGCACUUUCAAUGACUAACUUAAUGUCCACGCUUGCUCACCCCAUUGAUAUUUUCCUAAAUGCAUGAGGUACACUAUUCUCUCUGUCUUUAGCUAGCUAUGGCUAAUCUGUCUCUAAUGACUUAGCUAUAGGUAAUCAAUAAAACCAUUAUUAUUACUUAUCUCUAUUUUAAGCUAUCUUUGCCACCUAGAAAAUUUAAAGGCCUACUGAAACCCACUUCUACCGACCACGCAGUCUGAUAGUUUAUAUAUCAAUGAUGAAAUAUUAACAUUGCAACAAAUGCCAAUACGGCCGGUUUAGUUUACUAAAUUGCAAUUUUAAAUUUUCCGCGGAGUUUCUUGUUGAAAACGUCGCGGAAUGAUGACGCGUGCGCAUGACGUCACGGACUGUAGAGGACAUAUUAGCGCAGCACCAUUUGCGGCUAAAAGUCAUCUCUUUUCAUUGCGCAAUUAAACAGUAUUCUGGACAUCUGUGUUGCUGAAUCUUUUGCAAUUUGUUCAAUUAAUAAUGGAGAAGUCAAAGUAGAAAGAUGGAGUUGGGAAGCUUUAGCCUUUAGCCACACAAACACACGGUGAUUCCUUGUUUAAAAUUCCCAGAGGAGAAGCUUUACUAUGGAUCAGAGUGGUCAAGCGAACAUGGUUCCCGACCACUUGUCAACCGGCAGGUUUCGGUGAGAAAAUUGGGGUAAAAAGUCGUCUCUUACCAGAGAUCAGCUGAGUUUGCGCCGUCCAUGCAGCUGCCGCCAACUUCCCUCAGAGACUGGCCUCAAUACACCCGUGGACACACCCGUCCGACUAUCAGGUAGUAUUUAAUCUCACUAAAACACUAGCAACACAAUAGAUAGAUAAGGGAUUUCCCAGAAUUAUCCUAAUAAAUGUGUCUAAAAACAUCCGAAUCCGUCCCAAUGCAAUCGCCUUUUUUUAACUUCAUUUUUGUUUUUAUUUUAUUUUUCUAGUCCUUCGCUAUCAAUAUCAUCAUCCACGAAUCUUUCAUCCACGCUCAAAUUAAUGGGGAAAUUGUCGUUUUCUCGGUCAGAAUAGCUCUUGCUGCUGGAGGCUCCGAUUAUAAACAAUGUAAGGACGUGAGGAGCCCUCAACCUUGUGACGUCAUCAUCUGCGACUUCCGGUAAAGGCAAGGCACCAAAAGUUGCAAACAUUAUCGUCGAUGUUCUCUACUAAAUCCUUUCAGCAAAAAUAUGGCAAUAUCGCAAAAUGAUCAAGUAUAACACAUAGAAUGGACCUGCUAUCCCCGUUUAAAUAAGAAAAUCUCAUUUCAGUAGGCCUUUAAAUUACAUAGCUAUAUUAAUGUGAUGUCUUGUCGUCUGUUACAUUGUGUUUCUUGCAUAUCUCUUGCAUUAAUACACAUUGAAUACUGUUUUCCUGUUUGUCUAUUUCAAUCAAUCAUACAAAGGUUAUUUUUAUAGCCCUUAAUCACAAGUGUCUCAAAGGGCUGCACAAGCCAAAACGACAUCCUUUUGAUCUUAUGAACAUUUAACUAUUCAGGUAGAUAAAGUUUACCUUCUCUGACAACUUUCCUUGUGCUAAUGCUGCUCAUGUGUGACCUCCAAACUACCUCAAGCACACCUGCCAUUAAUCAGUCCAUGCAAACAGAUGGCUGCACUGAAAAUAGGGGGUGCCACAGCUGUCUGUUAUAACAAAUACAUCCUGUGCAAAGGCGAAGAUCCAUUAAAACUCUCGCUGGCAUGCUUCAUUGAAAGCUAUUGAAUGGCAAUUACUUUCGACGUACUAUUGCUCAAACACGGAUGCAUACAUGCAUGAGGUUUUGUCAUCCACACGGUAGCUCUCUGCUGAGCAUCCGGUGGCAGAUGGCGGAUCAGCGGUAAAGCAAAGGGUCCGAUGCCAAAAACCUGCUGGGUUCACUCCGGAACGUCACAAACGGUUGGUCUCAGCAUCCUUGCGCACAGCAGAGGCCUGUGUUAGCACUUUGGAAAUGUGUGUCUGGGCUACAAAAUAAAACUGAUAUUUAAAGCAAACACUAACAAAAUUGCCAACUAUAAUAUGAUCACAUCCACAUGUUGUAUAUGUAUUUAUUUUUGAAUAGUGUAAACUUCUUGCAUAAUGUUGUUGUUGGCCGUGGUACAAAAAAUGGGUAUGAACUUUGCGCAUUAUUCUCCCGUUUGUGAUAAAGUCUAUUUUACACACUUGAUUCUAAAACUAUGUUGAAACUAUCCAUCCAUCCAUCCAUUGUUUUUCUUUUUUUUUUCUUGACAUCCAGCAUCAGACAUUUCCAUCCACUAAAUCAUAUUCACAUACAUCACACAGCCGUUGUCUGCCCUAAAUGUCAAAAGUAUUUUUGUUUGUAUAACCAUGAUACCACCCCCCCCCCCAAAAAAAGAAAAAGAAACAGAGAUAAAAAACAAGGUAGUAUCUACACAUACAUCAAUUAAAUCAGCAAAAAAUAGAUAAUACAUUGAUAAUUAUAAUAAACAGAAAUAAAACAAAAUAAAUAUAUACAUCCAUCCAUUUUCUACCGCUUAUUCCCUUUGGGUUUGCGGUGGGCACUGGUGCCUAUAUUAGCUACAAUCGGGCGGAAGGCGGUGUACACCCUGGACAAGCCGCCACCUCAUCGCAGGGCAUGUUGAAACUAUGUUCCUCUUAUUCGUAUGCUUCCAUCCAGCCUGCAGAGACACGCCCACACCUUAAGUUAGACAAAAUUGCUUCUUAAAGGCCUACUGAAACCCACUACUACCGACCACGCAUUCUGAUAGUUUAUACAUCAAUGAUGAAAUAUUAACAUUGCAACAUAUGCCAAUAUGGCCAGUUUAGUUUACUAAAUUGCAAUUUUAAAUUUCCAGCGGAGUUUCCUGUUGAAAACGUCUCAGAAUGAUGACACACAUGCUGAUGCGUGUUUGUGACGUUAUUGGUUGGAGGGGACGUAUUAGCCCAGCACCACUUGCGGCUAAAAGUCGUCUCUUUUCAUCACCCAAUUACACAGUAUUUUGGACAUCUGUGUUGCUAAAUCUUUUGCAAUUUGUUCAAUUAAUAACGGAGAAGUCAAAGUAGAAAGAUGGAGGUCGAAAGCUUUUACCCUUUAGCCACACAAAAACACGGUGUUUCCUUGUUUAAAAUUCCCGGAGGUGAAGCUUUACUAUGGAUCAGAGCGGUCAAGCGAACAUGGAUCCCGACUACAUGUCAACCGGCAGUUUUCGGUGAGAAAAUUGUGGUCUUACCGGAGACACCAGCGGGCCUUCGUCCUGCUGCAGCGCGUGACUUCCCUGAGAGACUCUGGCGUCAACACACCCGUGGCCACACCCCUUCCACUUUAGGUACUGUAUAAUCUCACUAAAACAAUAGGCAGAUAAAGGAUUUUCCAGAAUGAUCCUAGGAAAUGUGUCUAAUAACAUCUGAAUCGAUCGCACUGCAAUCGCCUUUUUUUUAAUUUGUACUUUUUUAACUUUUUUUAUUUUCCCCCACAGACCGACUAUCGCGAGCGAGCUUAUAUGUAGAUAAGAAUACAUAUUUCAACACUCAAAUACAGUAUAAAUACGUCUGUUAAGAAUCCAGAACCAUACUGAAUGUUUCUUCUGCCAAGAAAGUAUAUUGUGUGUCUAUUUAUUCUAAAUAUUUUUUUUAAAUAAAACUUGGUUAAAAUAUAUCAGUGUUUGAAGUACUUUUUGAGCACAUUCAACAAUGUUGUGAUAAUAAUGGUAAGUGGUGAUGAUUUUGUUCAAAAUAAUUGAGACAUUUAAUUUUCAUAACGUUACAGCCCUAGUACAGUAGACCCUAAAGAAUGAGUUAGAAAUCCAUUGAGCUGUGUGAGAAAUUACAAGUCAAUCGGAAUUAUGGGCUCAAACAUCGCCACCAUGUUGUUUAUGUUUUAUUUGACAGGAUGUGUGUCCCCCAAAGUAUCCCACAGCAAUGAAACUAUCUGAAUGUCUUGCCAGUUGUUCAGACUUGACCAGUAUUAUUUUGUUGAACAGUCCAAGGUUGGGUCUUCUGGAAGAUUUCACAAGUAUUUAUUCAAAACAGCUCACAGGUAAAUGUUACAGCGUUGGUGUCACUCCAUCAAGAGCAUUGCUGAUUUCGAACAUAAACAUUAACGAAUGGCCUCCUCUCAAGCAAGCGCCUGCAAAAGUGAACCGCGAUGAAGAGUUCUUCACUCUCUUUGUAGCAAAACAGCUGAUAUGUCCAAUGGGUCAACAAUUCCAUGAUCAACAAGUGUUCAAGAGUGUUGGGGCCAGCCCAAGGAAAAGAAGUGAUAAUGAGGGAGAUGCUUGAGUGGUUUCAUCCAUGGGAAUUUUUCUUUUUAUCAAAAGCAUGUGUAGCUAAUAAAAAAUAUUAUUAUAUAUUAUUAAUACGUGAUAUCUAAUAUCAAACCUUUGAUCAAUUCUUUAGUUACUGAAGAUAGUUCAAACUUGGGGCUACACAUUUGGAGUCAUUAUUCUUUGAUGUGAUUUGACGUAUCAAAGCACGUGUCAACGUCCCGAAAGCAACAUAUAGUAGAUAGGCAGCCCUGAAUGUCGAAGAUGCAGCUGCAUGUGUGUGUGCUUAAUCAGAUUAAUUUCAAAUCAGUUGUGUGCAUUUAGGUGUAUAUUUAGGUGCGACUUAUCCAUGGUGUAACCUGCCUUCCGCCUGAGUGCAGCUGGGAUAGGCUCCAGCUCCCUUGCGACACAGAGAGGGACAAGCGGCACAAAAUUGAUGGAUAGAUGGAUGGAUAGAUUUGUUUUAAUAUCCUAACACUAUGAGAUGUUUCAAGAUGGGGCCGCUUGAGUGGCUGCUUCUUGCAGGAUAUGCUCUUGUAUUCUUAAUGUUUCCUUCCUCUUUUUGUGUGUUUUUCCCCGUUUGCAUUGGGCUCUUUUGGGACUGCGCAACAAGGGGGUUGCUUUUUUGUAAACUUUGGGAUCUGCUUCAGGAAGCCAUAGCCAUGUCUGCACCGGAGACCAGCUGCUCGCUCUCUGCCACACCAUGGAAAGACCUAAGAAGAUGCGGAGGAAGAGACCGGGCAUCGGCUUUGUUGUCUGCGCGUGUUGGAUAUAUCUUCGUCAGACCAAAGAGGCAAGGCGAGAAGGCAGUCCGUGGGCAGGAAAGCGGUCGGGGGCUGGAGAGAAGCAUCAAUGUCUGUGUCCAAGCAGGGGUGGAGGAUCGGGGAAGGCAGUCCGGAAUCCAGAGGGAGGUCGAGAUACACAACUCGAUCAAGAGAUACGGGGAAUGUACUGCGGGAGACACAAUGGACAUAAACACAGGAACAGGGAAGGGCAAAGAAAAAGAGAGCAAGUACGAGGAAGGGAAGCCAGAGACAGGGUGCCUACUGCGAGAGUGAACUACGUUCCGGCAGAGGAUCUUCAGGUACACUGGUCUUUAUGCUACCUUCCCUCAUUAGGACCAGGUGAGCUGGUUAGUGAUUGCCUGCAGCUUUGCCGGAGCGUGGCUGUGAUGCAAUCAGAGCAAGCAGGGGUGGGUCCUGGCGUGCUGCCAGCGGAGAUUGUGCCCGC